GUUUGAUUAUGGCUCAGGAUGAACGCUAGCUACAGGCUUAACACAUGCAAGUCGAGGGCAGCAUGAGAUUAGCUUGCUAAUCUUGAUGGCGACCGGCGCACGGGUGAGUAACGCGUAUCCAACUUCCCCUGCUCAGGGAUAGCCCGGUGAAAACCGGAUUAAGACCUGAUAGUUUCACUAGAUGGCAUCUGACGGUGAAUAAAGGUUUCGGCAUGGGAUGGGAUGCGUCUGAUUAGCUUGUUGGCGGGUAACGGCCACCAAGGCGACGAUCAGUAGGGGUUCUGAGAGGAAGGUCCCCCACAUUGGAACUGAGACACGGUCCAAACUCCUACGGGAGGCAGCAGUGAGGAAUAUUGGUCAAUGGGCGGAAGCCUGAACCAGCCAAGUAGCGUGCAAGGAAGACGGCCCUAUGGGUUGUAAACUGCUUUUGUAUGGGAAUAAAGUCAGGGACGUGUCCCUGUUUGCAUGUACCAUAAGAAUAAGGACCGGCUAAUUCCGUGCCAGCAGCAGC
Molecule: ribosomal RNA, 511 nt
Filed under: uncultured bacterium
Lineage: Bacteria
Description: bacterial SSU rRNA
Rfam family: Bacterial small subunit ribosomal RNA
Source: RNAcentral